AAACAAAACCGCCUAACUUCGUGGCUCCAGUGGAAUCUCUCAGUUUGAUGUCAUGAAGUGGAAAUGGCCAAAGAUCCAGUAAGAAUGAUGUAAAGUCCAAUUAUCAUGCAAAGACAUUCUGGAGAAUUGCAAAGUGAGUGAAGCCAGAAGAGGAGCACUUCAAAAGCCCUUUGGAGACACGGAAUCACAGCUCUGUGAGGGCCAGAGCUAUGGAAAUCGGAGGAAAUUGGACUUCACCGUGUUGGUGGCACACCCUGCCACCCUUGCCAGGAAAGGAAACGGGAAAAG
Molecule: long non-coding RNA, 288 nt
Organism: Heterocephalus glaber (naked mole-rat)
Lineage: Eukaryota; Metazoa; Chordata; Mammalia; Rodentia; Bathyergidae
Source: RefSeq, a predicted model, not a curated record